GAUGAACGCUGGCGGCGUGCCUAAUACAUGCAAGUCGAGCGAACAGACGAGGAGCUCGCUCCCCUGACGUUAGCGGCGGACGGGCGAGUAACACGUGGAUAACCUACCUCUAUGACGGGGAUAAUUUCGGGAAACCGCUGCUAAUACUAGAUAACACGAUCAACCGCAUGGAUCAACAGUGCAAGAGGGUCUUGCUGUCUCUUAUAGACGGAUCCGCGCCGCAUUAGCUAGUUGGUAAGGUAACGGCCUACCAAGGCAACGAUGCGUAGCCGACCUGAGAGGGUGAUCGGCCACACUGGAACUGAGACACGGUCCAGACUCCUACGGGAGGCAGCAGUAGGGAAUAUUCGACAAUGGGCGAAAGCCUGACGGAGCAACGCCGCGUGAGUGAAGAAGGUCUUCGGAUCGUAAAGCUCUGUUAUUAGGGAAGAACAACUGUGUAUGUAACUAUGCACGUCUUGACGGUACCUAAUCAGAAAGCAACGGCUAACUACGUG
Molecule: ribosomal RNA, 497 nt
Filed under: uncultured bacterium
Lineage: Bacteria
Description: partial 16S ribosomal RNA
Rfam family: Bacterial small subunit ribosomal RNA
Source: RNAcentral